This 565-nucleotide ribosomal RNA is filed under the name Streptomyces sp. WAC2288. RNAcentral's name for it is "bacterial LSU rRNA". It matches the Rfam family "Bacterial large subunit ribosomal RNA", at positions 2362 to 2925 of the family's 2925-position model. The record is from RNAcentral. Lineage: Bacteria; Bacillati; Actinomycetota; Actinomycetes; Kitasatosporales; Streptomycetaceae.
AGGGAGCUUGACUGUGAGACCGACGGGUCGAGCAGGGACGAAAGUCGGGACUAGUGAUCCGGCGGUGGCUUGUGGAAGCGCCGUCGCUCAACGGAUAAAAGGUACCCCGGGGAUAACAGGCUGAUCUUCCCCAAGAGUCCAUAUCGACGGGAUGGUUUGGCACCUCGAUGUCGGCUCGUCGCAUCCUGGGGCUGGAGUCGGUCCCAAGGGUUGGGCUGUUCGCCCAUUAAAGCGGUACGCGAGCUGGGUUUAGAACGUCGUGAGACAGUUCGGUCCCUAUCCGCUGUGCGCGUAGGAGUCUUGAGAAGGGCUGUCCCUAGUACGAGAGGACCGGGACGGACGAACCUCUGGUGUGCCAGUUGUUCUGCCAAGGGCAUGGCUGGUUGGCUACGUUCGGGAGGGAUAACCGCUGAAAGCAUCUAAGCGGGAAGCCUGCUUCGAGAUGAGGACUCCCACCCCCUUGAGGGGGUAAGGCUCCCAGUAGACGACUGGGUUGAUAGGCCGGAUCUGGAAGCCAGGUAACUGGUGGAGGUGACCGGUACUAAUAGGCCGAGGGCUUGUCCUC